RNAcentral lists this ribosomal RNA (253 nucleotides) under uncultured bacterium. RNAcentral describes it as "partial 16S ribosomal RNA". It matches the Rfam family "Bacterial small subunit ribosomal RNA", at positions 524 to 776 of the family's 1533-position model. The record is from RNAcentral.
UACAGAGGGGGCAAGCGUUAUUCGGAAUUAUUGGGCGUAAAGAGUGUGUAGGUGGUAUGUUAAGUUAAAUGUUAAAUCCCAGGGCUCAACUCAGGGGCUGCAUUUAAUACUGGCAAACUUGAGGUUAUGAGAGGUAAGCGGAAUUAGUAGUGUAGCAGUGAAAUGCGUAGAUAUUACUAGGAACACCAAUGGCGAAGGCAGCUUACUGGCAUAAUCCUGACACUGAGACACGAAAGCGUGGGGAGCGAACAGG